ACCGGUGCUUUUGGCGCGGGGGAUACACUGGUUCCCAUCCCGAACACCAAAGUUAAGACCCGCUGCGGCGAUGAUACUCGAAAGGGGAAAGUAGCACGGUGCCGGAC
This 107-nucleotide ribosomal RNA is filed under the name Candidatus Saccharimonadota bacterium. The record is from RNAcentral. Lineage: Bacteria; Candidatus Saccharimonadota.